This is a long non-coding RNA of Suricata suricatta (meerkat), 396 nucleotides long. RefSeq lists it as uncharacterized. NCBI's taxonomy places the organism in Eukaryota, Metazoa, Chordata, Mammalia, Carnivora, Herpestidae. The transcript is spliced from 2 exons. The record is from RefSeq and is a predicted model, not a curated record.
AGUGCAGUACCUGUGGUUUAGGCUAAGUGCUGUGGGAACAUAGAGCUAGCAGGAUGAAUUCUGCCUGAUGUGGGAUAUAUCACUUUUUGAAAAGGUGAAAUCCCUACAAGGUGGAUUACUCUCAAUUUACACACGGGGAAAUGGAAGCUACUGAAGUCCACCUAGUUCCCGGAAAGAUGAAGGGCAGCAGCAGGGUUCAAUCAAGGUUCCUACAACUCCUCAACCUGGAAUUUUUUCCAUCAUACCACUCGGUCUUCCUGAAAUACCUAACUGAUUUUCAUAUUACAACAAACAGUGGGACACAUUCCCACACAGAUCACCAUCACCGCCACCACCAAACAACUCUGUAUCUGGAGUUAAAAACAAAUGAAAAGAAAGGAAAUAUGCAUGUGAAAA